Molecule: ribosomal RNA, 253 nt
Filed under: uncultured bacterium
Lineage: Bacteria
Description: partial 16S ribosomal RNA
Rfam family: Bacterial small subunit ribosomal RNA
Source: RNAcentral
CACGUAGGGCGCAAGCGUUGUCCGGAAUUAUUGGGCGUAAAGAGCUCGUAGGCGGUCUGUUGCGUCCGCUGUGAAAACUCGGGGCUUAACCCCGAGCCUGCAGUGGAUACGGGCAGACUAGAGGUAGGUAGGGGAGAAUGGAAUUCCCGGUGUAGCGGUGAAAUGCGCAGAUAUCGGGAGGAACACCGGUGGCGAAGGCGGAUCUCUGGGCCUUACCUGACGCUGAGGCGCGAAAGCUAGGGGAGCGAAUGGG